Rosa rugosa (rugosa rose) is the source of this 2628-nucleotide long non-coding RNA. RefSeq lists it as uncharacterized. The transcript is spliced from 3 exons. The record is from RefSeq and is a predicted model, not a curated record. NCBI's taxonomy places the organism in Eukaryota, Viridiplantae, Streptophyta, Magnoliopsida, Rosales, Rosaceae.
UCUUCUUCCAAAAACAAACCCAAAAUAAACCCAGCUCUCUCUCCAUCUCUAGACCUUCGACGACGCUGAACAAUUGAAAUUGAACAAAAACCCCAAACUCCAACCUUGAACAACUACAAGAAGAAGAAGAAGAGCCCCAAAACGACGAAGAUGCCCCUUUUCUCUCUACCUUCUUCUUCUUCACACCCAAAUUAAUCACCAUAACCACCACUGAGCUCUCUCUCCAUACCCAACCACCAAUCCCAUUACAAUCAACACUAAGCCUAAAUGCCUUCAUAUCUUCAUGAAAUUACCCUUUACAUUCUCAGGAAACCCACUUCAUCACUUCAGAUUUACUAGGCCUGAUCUGGAAAUACAUAGUGGAGAAUGAACAACUCUUUCAUUCUUACGAAACUCUGCUCGUCAGCUAACUUCGGCGGCUAAAAUCUCCAUCUUCUGUUGCUCAGAUAGUCACGACUUCUUCAUAAAAGUUGUUCAAAAUCGAGUCUUCUAAACUGUAUUCAAAUUUCAUGAAAAUCCAACGGUUGAAUCUUCCAAAAUCAAGUCCCUCUUCGAAAUGGGUCCAGUUCUUCUCUUGAGAUUGAAUUCAAUUCAUGAAGUACUCAUUUCAAUCUUGAGCAAGUUGAAGCCAUCAAGGAGAGAGAGGCAAAAGGAGAACAUAUGCAAUCUGGGUACCUCGCCCAGCCCAACACCAACGCCGCCCAAGCUGCCCAGCGCCCUCCGAAACCCGCCUAUCUGUUCUGGGUAUUUGAGUUUUUGGUAAGGUUUUUCUGGGUGAAGUGUUUUGAUUCAAAAUCUCAUUUGGGUAUUUGAGUUUUUGUGAGGUUUUCUAUCAAGAUCGAAUUUUUGGGUUUAUGUUAGUUUUGGGGCACACAUUUUGAUUGGAAUUGGGUCCAGUGUGGUUUGGAAUGAAGAAAGUGAUGGGACUGUACUCGAUUGAGCUCACUAAGUUGUGAAUGAAUCGAAAAAAUUGAAUUGAAUUAGUUAACGAAAUCCGGGAUCUAGUGAUGAUUCUGGUCAUGGGUAUGCAUAUUCUCGAUCUAGUGAGAAGAUGCUGGAGGAUGAGAGCUUCCGGAUAAUAGAGGGUCUUUAACCAGACGGAGAUAAACAGAGGAGAGGAGAGAUGUGGAAGGAGAAGAGGUAAAAAGCAAAAAGAAUAAAAUUAAUUUAAAAAAAAAAGAGUGAAUGAGGGUAUAAUAGACUUUUUAGGGGGGAAACGACCGCCACGUCAGCAGGAUAACGGAGUUUUUGACGGUAGGGACCAAUUGGGAGGAAAUUGGGAGUUCAUGGACUUUUUAGGUGAAAUUCGAAGGUCAGGGACUGAAACGAUGAAACUCUAUAAGUAUAGGGAGUAAAUAGUAUUUAACUCUUAAGUUUAAGUUAAGUGGGGUUGUCUAUGAUAUUGAGAUUUUAUCAUACACUCAUUUUAUAUCUUAAUGAAUUAAAAUUAUAAUUUAAUUGACCCAAAUUUACCACAUUGACAACAAAUUUAUCACAUUCGUUUUACAAAAUUUAAUUAUUAGUCUAGGAAUUAACUACAAGUUAGUUGGGAAAUUCUAUGGUAGUUGUAUGUAUGUGAUACACUCAUUUACAAAUCUGACAACAAUUUUGUUGUCAUUGUGGUAAAUAGAGUUAUUUUUUGGGUAAUUUUAGUUCUAUUACAGGUAAUUACUUCACCUAUGAUAUUUUUACAAGUUUAUGAACAAAUUGUUGUUGAUGUAGUAACUUAGUUCAAUUAUAUGUAAAUAUGUAAAACAAAUGUGAUAACUUUGUUGUUAAUGUUGUAAAUUUGGUUCAACUAAAUUGUAAUUUUGGUUCAAUUAUAUGUAAAUGAGUGUAUGAUAAACAUCCAAGUACUCUAGACAACCCCCAAGUUAGUUUAUGUACUUGUCCCAAGGGGAGCAUACAUGGGGCACGUUCCUCAUCAGUAUUUCAUAUCUAUUUGUUUGUCAUGCUCUUGAAUCGUCGUGUUCAAAAUGUAAGCCGAAAGACCCAAUUGUUUUCCAUAUAUUCAAGCCAUUUCCUCCUUUUGAGCCCGAGCAUUGCUCGGUUUGGUCCGACUAAUUUUCACUAAAAAAAUUGCCUCACUCUACUUAGAAAUUUCUUGAUAACUUUGAAGUAUGGUUACUUUGUUGGUAAAAACAAGAAACUAGAAAAGCUGCAUUUUUUGGCAAAUACAAGAAAGUAGAAAAGGUGGAUUUUUUCCCAAGUUAAACCUCAUUAUGCUAAAAAGUUUCUUGUUGUUGCCUUAGUACGUUGGUUCUAACUUUUGGAUCAGCGCUACUACAGUUGUCAGAGCCGGCCCUGGCGGUAGCUACCUGAGGCAGCGCAGCUUCUGGGCGGCCUCUGAAGCUUUGAGUUCCAGUAUGCUUAGUAUAAUAUAUAUCAACUUUGCGAGUUUGAAACUGGUUGGUUGUGUUAGUGCGGUGGUGAUGUGGUCUUUGCUCUAUCUUGGUAAUUGGGGUUCGACUCCUUAUGAUGACUUUUGAGAUAUGAGUUUCUCCUUCUUUUGUUUUACAUUUUCAGUUCAUUUUUUUCUUUUAUAAUCUAUAAACAGUAACAUAAUUUUUAUUAUAUACUUUUUUCUUGAUAUUAUUUUUAUAAUGGAAAAAUGAUUUUCUAUAGCUA